Molecule: ribosomal RNA, 787 nt
Filed under: Metarhizium guizhouense
Lineage: Eukaryota; Fungi; Ascomycota; Sordariomycetes; Hypocreales; Clavicipitaceae
Also listed under: 1 other name
Description: SSU rRNA
Rfam family: Bacterial small subunit ribosomal RNA
Source: RNAcentral
AUGAAAUUCUAUUAUACCAAAGGGACUCGGUAAAGGCGAAGGCAGCCCUCUAUGUAAAAACUGACGUUGAAGGACGAAGGCACAGAGCACAAACAGGAUUAGAUACCCAAGUAGUCUUUGCAGUAAAUGAUGAAUGUCAUAGGUUAGAUUAAGCUUUAAUUAAUUAGUUUAUCAGUAAUGAACUAACUAUUAAACAAUAUUUAGUCUAUAAAUGAAAGUGUAAGCAUUCCACCUCAAGAGUAAUGUGGCAACGCAGGAACUGAAAUCACUAGACCGUUUCUGACACCAGUAGUGAAGUAUGUUGUUUAAUUCGAUGAUCCACGAAAAACCUUACCACAAUUUGAAUAUUUUACAGGAGUUGCACGGCUGUUUUCAGUUAAUGUUGUGAAACUGUGGUUUCCAUGAAAUUAACGCAAUCCCUGGCUUUAUUUUUUUUAUUACGAUAAAGCAUUUGAUCCAGGAUUUGGAAAGAAAAAGGGGACAAAGACAAGUCAUCAUGGCCUUGAUAUUGUGGGCUAUAGACGUGCCACAUAUUCCUACACAAAGAGAUGCAAAAAUGUGAAUUUAAGCUAAUCUCUAAAAAUAGGAUAUAAAUUUUAAGGAUUAUAGUCUGAAACUCGACUAUAUGAAUAAGUAAUUACUAGUAAUCGUGAAUCACCAUGUCACGGUGAAUUUACCUUGGAUUGGUACUAACCACUCGUCACAUGCUGAAAAGAGCAUGCGCAAUAAGUUUGCUUUCUUGAUGAUCAGUAAAAAGAAUAAGCAGGUUCUAUAUUCUAUUAUUAAG